RNAcentral lists this ribosomal RNA (1398 nucleotides) under Staphylococcus aureus. RNAcentral describes it as "partial 23S ribosomal RNA". It matches the Rfam family "Bacterial large subunit ribosomal RNA", at positions 1 to 1401 of the family's 2925-position model. The record is from RNAcentral. Lineage: Bacteria; Bacillati; Bacillota; Bacilli; Caryophanales; Staphylococcaceae.
GAUUAAGUUAUUAAGGGCGCACGGUGGAUGCCUUGGCACUAGAAGCCGAUGAAGGACGUUACUAACGACGAUAUGCUUUGGGGAGCUGUAAGUAAGCUUUGAUCCAGAGAUUUCCGAAUGGGGAAACCCAGCAUGAGUUAUGUCAUGUUAUCGAUAUGUGAAUACAUAGCAUAUCAGAAGGCACACCCGGAGAACUGAAACAUCUUAGUACCCGGAGGAAGAGAAAGAAAAUUCGAUUCCCUUAGUAGCGGCGAGCGAAACGGGAAGAGCCCAAACCAACAAGCUUGCUUGUUGGGGUUGUAGGACACUCUAUACGGAGUUACAAAGGACGACAUUAGACGAAUCAUCUGGAAAGAUGAAUCAAAGAAGGUAAUAAUCCUGUAGUCGAAAAUGUUGUCUCUCUUGAGUGGAUCCUGAGUACGACGGAGCACGUGAAAUUCCGUCGGAAUCUGGGAGGACCAUCUCCUAAGGCUAAAUACUCUCUAGUGACCGAUAGUGAACCAGUACCGUGAGGGAAAGGUGAAAAGCACCCCGGAAGGGGAGUGAAAUAGAACCUGAAACCGUGUGCUUACAAGUAGUCAGAGCCCGUUAAUGGGUGAUGGCGUGCCUUUUGUAGAAUGAACCGGCGAGUUACGAUUUGAUGCAAGGUUAAGCAGUAAAUGUGGAGCCGUAGCGAAAGCGAGUCUGAAUAGGGCGUUUAGUAUUUGGUCGUAGACCCGAAACCAGGUGAUCUACCCUUGGUCAGGUUGAAGUUCAGGUAACACUGAAUGGAGGACCGAACCGACUUACGUUGAAAAGUGAGCGGAUGAACUGAGGGUAGCGGAGAAAUUCCAAUCGAACCUGGAGAUAGCUGGUUCUCUCCGAAAUAGCUUUAGGGCUAGCCUCAAGUGAUGAUUAUUGGAGGUAGAGCACUGUUUGGACGAGGGGCCCCUCUCGGGUUACCGAAUUCAGACAAACUCCGAAUGCCAAUUAAUUUAACUUGGGAGUCAGAACAUGGGUGAUAAGGUCCGUGUUCGAAAGGGAAACAGCCCAGACCACCAGCUAAGGUCCCAAAAUAUAUGUUAAGUGGAAAAGGAUGUGGCGUUGCCCAGACAACUAGGAUGUUGGCUUAGAAGCAGCCAUCAUUUAAAGAGUGCGUAAUAGCUCACUAGUCGAGUGACACUGCGCCGAAAAUGUACCGGGGCUAAACAUAUUACCGAAGCUGUGGAUUGUCCUUUGGACAAUGGUAGGAGAGCGUUCUAAGGGCGUUGAAGCAUGAUCGUAAGGACAUGUGGAGCGCUUAGAAGUGAGAAUGCCGGUGUGAGUAGCGAAAGACGGGUGAGAAUCCCGUCCACCGAUUGACUAAGGUUUCCAGAGGAAGGCUCGUCCGCUCUGGGUUAGUCGGGUCCUAAGCUGAGG